Molecule: ribosomal RNA, 504 nt
Filed under: uncultured bacterium
Lineage: Bacteria
Description: partial 16S ribosomal RNA
Rfam family: Bacterial small subunit ribosomal RNA
Source: RNAcentral
AUUGAACGCUGGCGGCAUGCCUUACACAUGCAAGUCGAACGGCAGCAUGGAGAGCUUGCUCUCUGAUGGCGAGUGGCGAACGGGUGAGUAAUGCAUCGGAACGUACCGUGUCAUGGGGGAUAACGUAGCGAAAGUUACGCUAAUACCGCAUACGACCUGAGGGUGAAAGCAGGGGAUCGCAAGACCUUGCGUGAUACGAGCGGCCGAUGUCAGAUUAGCUAGUUGGUGAGGUAAAGGCUCACCAAGGAGACGAUCUGUAGCGGGUCUGAGAGGAUGCUCCGCCACACUGGGACUGAGACACGUCCCAGACUCCUACGGGAGGCAGCAGUGGGGAAUUUUGGACAAUGGGGGCAACCCUGAUCCAGCCAUGCCGCGUGAGUGAAGAAGGCCUUCGGGUUGUAAAGCUCUUUCGGCCGAGAAGAAAUCGCACAGGCUAAUACUCUGUGUGGAUGACGGUACCGGCAUAAGAAGCACCGGCUAACUACGUGCCAGCAGCCGCAGUAA